This 91-nucleotide transfer RNA is filed under the name Negativicutes bacterium. Its description in RNAcentral is "tRNA-Ser". It matches the Rfam family "tRNA". Rfam says of the family: Transfer RNA (tRNA) molecules are approximately 80 nucleotides in length. The record is from RNAcentral. Lineage: Bacteria; Bacillati; Bacillota; Negativicutes.
GGAGUGGUACUCAAGUGGCCGAAGAGGAUGGUUUGCUAAAUCAUUAGCAGGGGUGACUCUGGCGUGGGUUCGAAUCCCACCCACUCCGCCA